This 553-nucleotide ribosomal RNA is filed under the name uncultured bacterium. Its description in RNAcentral is "partial 16S ribosomal RNA". It matches the Rfam family "Bacterial small subunit ribosomal RNA", at positions 355 to 921 of the family's 1533-position model. The record is from RNAcentral.
UGGGGAAUAUUGGACAAUGGGCGCAAGCCUGAUCCAGCCAUGCCGCGUGAGUGAUGAAGGCCCUAGGGUUGUAAAGCUCUUUCACCGGUGAAGAUAAUGACGGUAACCGGAGAAGAAGCCCCGGCUAACUUCGUGCCAGCAGCCGCGGUAAUACGAAGGGGGUUAGCGUUGUUCGGAUUUACUGGGCGUAAAGCGCACGUAGGCGGACUUUUAAGUCAGGGGUGAAAUCCCGGGGCUCAACCCCGGAACUGCCUUUGAUACUGGAAGUCUUGAGUAUGGUAGAGGUGAGUGGAAUUCCGAGUGUAGAGGUGAAAUUCGUAGAUAUUCGGAGGAACACCAGUGGCGAAGGCGGCUCACUGGACCAUUACUGACGCUGAGGUGCGAAAAGCGUGGGGAGCAAAACAGGAUUAGAUACCCUGGUAGUCCACGCCGUAAACGAUGAAUGUUAGCCGUUGGGGAGUUUAACUCUUCGGUGGCGCAGCUAACGCAUUAAACAUUCCGCCUGGGGAGUACGGUCGCAAGAUUAAAAACUCAAAAGGAAUUGAACGGGGUC